GCGCCUGUAGCUCAGUGGACAGAGCAGCGGACUUCUAAUCCGCGGGUCGCAGGUUCGAAUCCUGCCAGGCGCA
RNAcentral lists this transfer RNA (73 nucleotides) under Actinomycetes bacterium. RNAcentral describes it as "Actinobacteria bacterium tRNA-Arg". It matches the Rfam family "tRNA". Rfam says of the family: Transfer RNA (tRNA) molecules are approximately 80 nucleotides in length. Their secondary structure includes four short double-helical elements and three loops (D, anti-codon, and T loops). Further hydrogen bonds mediate the characteristic L-shaped molecular structure. tRNAs have two regions of fundamental functional importance: the anti-codon, which is responsible for specific mRNA codon recognition, and the 3' end, to which the tRNAs corresponding amino acid is attached (by aminoacyl-tRNA synthetases). tRNAs cope with the degeneracy of the genetic code in two manners: having more than one tRNA (with a specific anti-codon) for a particular amino acid; and 'wobble' base-pairing, i.e. permitting non-standard base-pairing at the 3rd anti-codon position. RNAcentral also lists the same sequence under 3 other names. The record is from RNAcentral. Lineage: Bacteria; Bacillati; Actinomycetota; Actinomycetes.